AUUAAUUCCCCAUAGUACAAUAUAAUAUCGCAUGAUAUAAUUGUUAAAGAUUUAUCGGUUAAAGAUGGGCAUGCGUCUGAUUAGCUUGUUGGUAAGGUAACGGCUUACCAAGGCAACGAUCAGUAGGGGGUCUGAGAGGAUGAUCCCCCACACUGGUACUGAGACACGGACCAGACGUCUACGGACGGCAGCAGUAAGGAAUAUUGGGCAAUGGGCGCAAGCCUGACCCAGCCAUGCCGCGUGCAGGAUGACGACCCUAUGGGUUGUAAACUGCUUUUAUAUAGGAAGAAAAUACUCUUGCGAGAGGAUCUGACGGUACUAUAUGAAUAAGGAC
Molecule: ribosomal RNA, 334 nt
Filed under: uncultured bacterium
Lineage: Bacteria
Description: bacterial SSU rRNA
Rfam family: Bacterial small subunit ribosomal RNA
Source: RNAcentral